UAAGCUCGGUGCAAGGAGCGUAGGUAAUACGGAUGGGGUCGGGGUUAAUCGGAAUUAAUGUGCGUAUAGGGGGCGUAGCGGGUUGGGUGAGUCAGCGUGGGGAGCCCCGAGCUCAGCCCGGGAGCGGCGGUCGAGACGUCCCGCCUCGAGUGGGCUAGGGGAUCGUGGAAUGCCGUAUGUAGCAGUGAAAAGCGUAGAGAUCCGGAGGAACACCGGUGGCGAAGGCAGCGAUCUGGGGCCACACUGACGCUGGGGGACGAAAGCGUGGGGAGCAAACAUGAUUAGAUACCCGGGUAGUC
Molecule: ribosomal RNA, 299 nt
Filed under: uncultured Streptomyces sp.
Lineage: Bacteria; Bacillati; Actinomycetota; Actinomycetes; Kitasatosporales; Streptomycetaceae
Description: partial 16S ribosomal RNA
Rfam family: Bacterial small subunit ribosomal RNA
Source: RNAcentral